This is a long non-coding RNA of Populus nigra (black poplar), 708 nucleotides long. RefSeq lists it as uncharacterized. NCBI's taxonomy places the organism in Eukaryota, Viridiplantae, Streptophyta, Magnoliopsida, Malpighiales, Salicaceae. The transcript is spliced from 2 exons. The record is from RefSeq and is a predicted model, not a curated record.
UGAAGGACAAAUUAGUAAUAAAAAAUAUAUUUUCAAGCACAAAUUCGAAGUCAAAAUUGUAAAUUUAAUGUCCAAAGAAGGGGAUAGUUGCCGCGUAAAUUUUCGAAAGUUACCCUUCACCUUCUAUAAAUCCCACCACUGGCCUCAUGUUCAUCACAAAUUUCACUUCUCUUCAAUCUCCAUCUACACCUUAGCCUUCUCUCCAAGAAACCAAUUACCAAAUUCUUGAAUUCCAGACAAAUCACCAUGCCAAUGAAGAAAUCAAGUGUUUUUGCUGCUUCGGUUGCUGCAGCUUCUGCUACUGCCCUCUCUGUUUCUUCCUCUUCUCCUAGUUUUAACUCUAAUGUUAAGGAAGCUGGGUCAAACAAAGACCAACAAGGACCUGCUUCCAUGGAGAAAUUUACACCAAGGUUUGACGGGCUGAGGUUUAUUGAAACACUGAUCACUGCUCACAGAUGAAGAGAUGAGAGACAGAGAGUCAUCUGGCCUUGAUAGCUCCAUGGAUGAUAUUGAUUAGCAGUACUAAUUUUAGCUAAUACCCAUCUUUUCUCUUUAAUCCAGAGGGGAAAAAAAAAGAUGGCAUAAAGAAAGUUUGACUUUUUUUUUCUUGGGUGGACUGUAAUGCCUGAGUUGAGAUUUUGUAAUAGUAUUUUCACUCAAAUUGUCUGUCCUGUUCAUUAUUCAAAUAUCUGAUUUUUCUUUGUGCUA